AGAGUUUGAUCAUGGCUCAGGAUGAACGCUAGCUACAGGCUUAACACAUGCAAGUCGAGGGGGAAACGACAUCGAAAGCUUGCUUUUGAUGGGCGUCGACCGGCGCACGGGGUGAGUAACGCGUAUCCAACCUGCCCACCACUUGGGGAUAACCGUUGCGAAAGUAAGACUAAUACCCAAUGACUAUCUCUAGAAGACAUCUGAAAGUAGAUUAAAGAUUCAUCGGUGAUGGAUGGGGAUGCGUCUGAUUAGCUUGUUGGCGGGGUAACGGCCCACCAAGGCAACGAUCAGUAGGGGGUUCUGAGAGGAACGGUCCCCCACAUUGGAACUGAGACACGGUCCAAACUCCUACGGGAGGCAGCA
Molecule: ribosomal RNA, 363 nt
Filed under: uncultured bacterium
Lineage: Bacteria
Description: bacterial SSU rRNA
Rfam family: Bacterial small subunit ribosomal RNA
Source: RNAcentral